CUAAUACAUGCAAGUAGAACGCUGAGAACUGGUGCUUGCACCGGUUCAAGGAGUUGCGAACGGGUGAGUAACGCGUAGGUAACCUACCUCAUAGCGGGGGAUAACUAUUGGAAACGAUAGCUAAUACCGCAUAAGAGAGACUAACGCAUGUUAGUAAUUUAAAAGGGGCAAUUGCUCCACUAUGAGAUGGACCUGCGUUGUAUUAGCUAGUUGGUGAGGUAAAGGCUCACCAAGGCGACGAUACAUAGCCGACCUGAGAGGGUGAUCGGCCACACUGGGACUGAGACGCGGCCCAGACUCCAUACGGGAGGCAGCAGUAGGGAAUCUUCGGCAAUGGGGGCAAACCUGAGUGAGCAACGCCGACGUGAGUGAAGAAGGUUUUCCGAUCGUAAAGCUUUGUUGUUAGAGAAGAAUGAUCGUGGGAGUGGAAAAUCCACCAAGUGACGGUAACUAACCAGAAAGGGACGGCUAACUACGUGCCAGCAGCCGCGGUAAUACGUAGGUCCCGAGCGUUGUCCGGAUUUAUUGGGCGUAAAGCGAGCGCAGGCGGUUUUUUAAGUCUGAAGUUAAAGGCAUUGGCUCAACCAAUGUACGCUUUGGAAACUGGAGAACUUGAGUGCAGAAGGGGAGAGUGGAAUUCCAUGUGUAGCGGUGAUAUGCGUAGAUAUAUGGAGG
Molecule: ribosomal RNA, 675 nt
Filed under: uncultured Streptococcaceae bacterium
Lineage: Bacteria; Bacillati; Bacillota; Bacilli; Lactobacillales; Streptococcaceae
Description: bacterial SSU rRNA
Rfam family: Bacterial small subunit ribosomal RNA
Source: RNAcentral